UAUAUGAAGUCACCUGGCCAAGCUCAGGCAACCAAUAAACAGGAGAGCCCUAGUCCUGACAAGGCAGCCAGCCCCACACCCUGGUUCCUGAUCACCUCCUGACUACAAAUGCCUCCAGGAUCAAAAUAUUUCCUUCUAUUUCAUGCCCAGAAAACAGUCUCCCACCAGGCCUUGCCAAUCGAAGCCUCCACGGGAGCCUGCUAAUUAUAAAUGGUCAACAUCUAUCUCUGUCUGCUAAAAUGGCAUCUCCAGAAAAGGAACCAGGAAUUGUCAUUUUAACCCAUUUCAUCGUGUUCUUCUGAGGAACAUUGCCAUGAACUCAAAGAGCUGUGGUUACCUGCACAAGACCUGCAUGAGAAUGGGCCAACAAUGGAUGAAUGGAGAAUGGAUCAACAAUUCAUCAUGGAAGGGCAAAGGAGUCAUGAUGCCCCACCAUCCCUGAGGGACCACUGACAGUUAAUGGUGACAGGGAAAGAAAUGUCACAUUCUUCAGUGAAAGAGUCACUGAUAAGUUCUCUGUGUCCCAGUAAAUAAGCUCUCAACCAUUCUCAUGACAGCCACUCUAAUGAAACUCAGUGGGUCACACACGAAAGGAAGCAUAUAAGUAAGAAGAGGACUUGGUGCAAAGAAGGGGUUCAGUGGGAGAAUGAGGGAAGACAGAAGGUGACAAUGAGUGAAAAUAGCUAAAAAUCCAUUAUAUGUUGCAGGAGACUAUCCAAGAUUAAGAAAUGAGAAGGCAAGCCGGGCAGUGGUGGUGCACGCCUUUAGUCCCAGCACUUGGGAGGCAGAGGCAGGUGGAUUCUGAGUUCGAGGGCUAUACAAAGAAACCCUGUCUCAAAAAAAGAAAGAAAGAAAGAAAGAAAGAAAGAAAGAAAGAAAGAAAGAAAGAAAGAAAGAAAGAAAGAAAGAAAGAAAGAAAGAAAGAAAGAAAGAAAGAAAGGGAAAGAAAAGAAAAGAAAAAGGAAAAAGAAAAAGAAAAAGAAAUGAGAAGGCAUGAAUGUGUGCAUGCAUACACACUCAUAUGGAGAAGAAUGAAGGCAAGGAAACUGUCAACAUACACUUGCCCAAAAGCAAGAAUAUCUACACACAUGUACAUAAAAUAUGCUUGAAGGGUGCCUGGAGAGAGGCAAGAAAAGUAUGUUUUACUACAUGCAAUUUAUACUGACAGAUUAAUAUGCAUAUAUUAAUCAUUUUCUUAAAACUGGUCAAUAUUUUAGACAUGUUGAUGUACAACUGAAUAAAAGGGAAAUUCAUCUAAAUGUCAUUGCAGGCUGAGUGGUAGUGCAGGGUGCUGGGUGAUAAGCCCAGGACUCUGGAGGCACAGGCAGGUGGAUCUCUGUGAGUUUGAAGCCAGCCUGGUCUACAGUACUAGUUCUACACAGGGUACACAAAGCACCCUGUCUCAGGAAAAGAAAACAAAACAUGUUAUUGCAAAGGAUCAGUUCCCUCCUCAGAUGGAAAGUGAUCCAUCUCUAGAGUGUCCAAAUGAAAGCUUGAAAGCCGAUUGGCUGCCAGGCCAGAUGAUGUAGACGCAUAAAGAGAUGGGUCUGCAACACUGAUAUUAGGAGCACUAGAUGACUUUCUGAGUGUUUAAGGCCAAAGGUUCAGACCCUAGCCACAAAAUGAAGAAAUUGCCAUCGGACCUUCUGUGUUCCAAUCAAUCAAGAGGCUCUCAGAGGCUAUGCAAGUACCAGUGAGAUGAACUUGUAGCAAGUUCAAUAGAACAAGUAACUAAACCCACAAUCUCAUUAAAAUCUCUCCACCCAUUUUGAAAGUUCACGAAUGUACAAUGAGUUCACAUGCGUACAAGAAUUAUUAACCUUUUGACACUUUAGCAAAGAUAGCUAAAAGGAGAAAAGUUUUGUUCUUUCUUACAGUUUCAGACCAUAAUCACCUGGCUUCACUGUUUCUGGGUACAUAAUGUGGUGGGAAGCAAAUGGUUGAGCAGGUCAGCUCACCUUUGGCAGACAGGGCACAAAGAGGCAGAGGAGCAAGGGCUCAAGACAAGCCCUCUGGGACCUCCUUCCUCCAACCAUGCCCACCUGCAGACUUCCCAGCUGUGAUUACAUCAGUGUAAUGACCCACCCAUAACAUUAAAGCCAUCGUGAUCCAGUCUUCUCUGACUCUCUUAGGUUGGGGACCAUGCUUUCAACUCAUAAAUCUGUCAGGGAUGUUUCACAUCCAAACCAUAGUGGAAAUUAAAAUUGUUAUACACCCAAAACUCAAAAGUGUUAUUUUUCAACAGAGGUGGCCAGGAUUUAUGGAAAAUGAUUUCAUUUCAGAGGAUUCUUUUUCCUGUUAAAAUUAGGUUAUACUUUAUUGUCUUCCCUUAGCCCAAGGAGCAAGUCUUCCCCUCCUUCCAGCUCUUGCAAGGUAGUGUUGCCUUCAUAGUAUGAUCUAGUACCUUCCUUAGGAAAUUUCCUUUGAGGUCCACAAUGUCAGAAAACCCACUGGUGAGUGUGAUACGUGGCAUCACACUUUGCCACCAGGAGGCCAAAUAAAGACAGGAGCAUUAAUCAAAUUUGGAAAUAAUUUGAAAAACAAAAACCCACUGAGCUCCAAAUAGAUCAGUGCAUGAAUAAUUAGCAGCCCACAGUAUCAGAUAUUAGAAAGUGAAAACAGGAAACUCUCGUGCCCCAGCUAUGUACCUACUAGACUGAAGUGCCAACUUCCAAGGUUGAGAGCACAACGUGACCUUCAAAUGGGUGUCAAUGUCACUGGCUUACUCAUAUUUGCAGUUUUCCAUCUAUCACGAACAGGAAUUUUUCAAAGAACUAUAAAUGUAUCAAUUUGGUAUAGUCCCUAGGGGCUGAAGGGAGGAGAGGGCAGGGGGAGAGGGAGGCGCUGGGUGGUUCCCAUGCAGGCUAGAGUUCUUGGUCUUGUCCAUGGCUGGAGCGCAGGAAGGCCUUCUGGCAGGAGGUUAGUCAUGACUCAU
Long non-coding RNA from Mus musculus (house mouse), 2935 nucleotides. RefSeq annotates it as predicted gene, 53302. The transcript is spliced from 3 exons. The record is from RefSeq and is a predicted model, not a curated record. NCBI's taxonomy places the organism in Eukaryota, Metazoa, Chordata, Mammalia, Rodentia, Muridae.